AGUGAACGCUGGCGGUAGGCCUAACACAUGCAAGUCGAACGGCAGCACAGUAAGAGCUUGCUCUUACGGGUGGCGAGUGGCGGACGGGUGAGGAAUACAUCGGAAUCUACUUUUUCGUGGGGGAUAACGUAGGGAAACUUACGCUAAUACCGUAUACGACCUACGGGUGAGAGCAGGGGAUCUUCGGACCUUGCGCGAUUGAAUGAGCCGAUGUCGGAUUAGCUAGUUGGCGGGGUAAAGGCCCACCAAGGCGACGAUCCGUAGCUGGUCUGAGAGGAUGAUCAGCCACACUGGAACUGAGACACGGUCCAGACUCCUACGGGAGGCAGCAGUGGGGAAUAUUGGACAAUGGGCGCAAGCCUGAUCCAGCCAUACCGCGUGGGUGAAGAAGGCCUUCGGGUUGUAAAGCCCUUUUGUUGGGAAAGAAAAGCAGCAGGUUAAUACCCCGCUGUUCUGACGGUACCCAAAGAAUAAGCACCGGCUAACUUCGUG
RNAcentral lists this ribosomal RNA (492 nucleotides) under uncultured bacterium. RNAcentral describes it as "partial 16S ribosomal RNA". It matches the Rfam family "Bacterial small subunit ribosomal RNA", at positions 29 to 507 of the family's 1533-position model. The record is from RNAcentral.